GACGUUUGCCAUCAGUGUAUCCAAGAAAGUAAUUGGACGAUCUCGGAUGUUGAUGAAAUGGAGCAGCAAUUGGCAGACCCUACCUUCCAGAAACAAGUGAUUCUACUUGUCUAGGUGGGUCGUGGAAUGGAAAAGUUUGGGAACCCCUGACGUAGUGGAGAGCAAGAUAGGUAAGUCUUAAGAUAUUCUUGAUUUUUAAAUGGAAAUACAAUCUUUAAAAAGACAAGACUUAUCUGUUUUAACUGUGAAAAAGUGGCACAGUGGUUGAUUAAUUGUUCUCUUUUCAAAGGGCCGUUGGGAGAGCAAGGACAGGGGAGUGAGGAGCUGCACUUUCGGUAUUUUAUUUAUUUUUUAAU
This is a long non-coding RNA of Sinocyclocheilus grahami, 356 nucleotides long. RefSeq lists it as uncharacterized. The record is from RefSeq and is a predicted model, not a curated record. NCBI's taxonomy places the organism in Eukaryota, Metazoa, Chordata, Actinopteri, Cypriniformes, Cyprinidae. The transcript is spliced from 3 exons.